This 497-nucleotide ribosomal RNA is filed under the name uncultured bacterium. RNAcentral describes it as "partial 16S ribosomal RNA". It matches the Rfam family "Bacterial small subunit ribosomal RNA", at positions 28 to 507 of the family's 1533-position model. The record is from RNAcentral.
GAUGAACGCUGGCGGCGUGCCUAAUACAUGCAAGUCGAGCGAACGGACGAGAAGCUUGCUUCUCUGAUGUUAGCGGCGGACGGGUGAGUAACACGUGGAUAACCUACCUAUAAGACUGGGAUAACUUCGGGAAACCGGAGCUAAUACCGGAUAAUAUUUUGAACCGCAUGGUUCAAAAGUGAAAGACGGUCUUGCUGUCACUUAUAGAUGGAUCCGCGCUGCAUUAGCUAGUUGGUAAGGUAACGGCUUACCAAGGCAACGAUGCAUAGCCGACCUGAGAGGGUGAUCGGCCACACUGGAGCUGAGACACGGUCCAGACUCCUACGGGAGGCAGCAGUAGGGAAUCUUCCGCAAUGGGCGAAAGCCUGACGGAGCAACGCCGCGUGAGUGAUGAAGGUCUUCGGAUUGUAAAACUCUGUUAUUAGGGAAGAACAUAUGUGUAAGUAACUGUGCACAUCUUGACGGUACCUAAUCAGAAAGCCACGGCUAACUACGUG